AAUGGAACAAUGUAGGCAAGGAAAGUCGGCAAAAUGGAUCUGUAACCUCGAGAAAAGGAUUGGGUCUGAGGGCUGGGCACGGGGGUCUCAGUCCCGAACCCGGUCGGUGGACUGCUCAAGCUGCUCCAGCUGCGAAAGUGGGUCGCCGCGUGCCGGUUGGGGGACGAACUGGGAGCAUUCCUUCGGGGACUUUCCCCAGGCGUCAAACAGCCGCCUCAGAACUGGUACGGACAAUGGGAAUCCGACUGUUUAAUUAAAACAAAGCAUUGCGAUUGUGCCUACGGAUGCUAAUGCAAUGUGAUUUCUGCCAAGUGCUCUGAAUGUCAAAGUGAAGAAAUUCAACCAAGCGCGGGUAAACGGCAGGAGUAACUAUGACUCUCUUAAGGUAGCCAAAUGCCUCGUCAUCUAAUUAGUGAAGUGCAUGAAUGGAUUAACGAGAUUCCCAUUGUCCCUGUCUACUAUCUAGCAAACCACAGCCAAGGGAACGGGCUUGGCAUAAUCAGCGGGGAAAGAAGACCCUGUUGAGCUUGACUCUAGUCCGACUUUGUGAAAUGACUUGAGAGGUGUAGUAUAAGUGGGAGCUUCGGCAAAAUUGAAGUACCACUACUUUUAACGUUAUUUUACUUAUUCCGUGAAAUGGAGGCGGGGCAUCGCCCUGCUUUUUGGACCCAAGGCCAGCCUCGCAUUGCCCGAUCCGGGCAGAAGACACUGUCAAGUGGGGAGUUUGGCUGGGGCAGCACAUCUGUUAAAAGAUAACUCAGGUGUCCUAAGAUGAGUUCGACGAGAACAGAAAUCUCGUGUGGAACAAAAGGGUAAAAGCUCGUUUGAUUCUGAUUUCCAAUACGAAUACGAACCGUGAAAGCGUGGCCUAUCGAUCCUGUAGACCUUUGAAAUUUGAAGCUAGAGGUGUCAAAAAAGUUACCGCAGGGAUAACUGGCUUGUGGCAGCCAAGCGUUCAUAGAGACUUUGCUUUUUGAUCCUUCGAUGUCAGCUCUUCCUAUCAUUGUGAAGCAGAAUUCACCAAGUGUUGGAUUGUUCACCCACCAAUAGGGAACGUGAGCUGGGUUUAGACCGUCGUGAGACAUGUUAGUUUUACCCUACUGAUGACAG
This 1110-nucleotide non-coding RNA is filed under the name Prunus persica (peach). RNAcentral's name for it is "rRNA LSU_rRNA_eukarya". It matches the Rfam family "Eukaryotic large subunit ribosomal RNA", at positions 1889 to 3006 of the family's 3401-position model. Lineage: Eukaryota; Viridiplantae; Streptophyta; Magnoliopsida; Rosales; Rosaceae. The record is from Rfam by way of RNAcentral.